GCUGGGUGCAAUGGCAUACGCCUGUAUUCUCAGCAACUCAGGAGGCUGAGGCAGGAGGAUUGCAUGUUUGAGGCCAGCCUUAGCAACUUCGGGAGGUUCUAAGCAACUUAGUGAGACCCUGUCUCAA
Molecule: small RNA, 127 nt
Filed under: Marmota monax (woodchuck)
Lineage: Eukaryota; Metazoa; Chordata; Mammalia; Rodentia; Sciuridae
Source: RNAcentral